GACCUAGUCGGAGGAUAAGCACGCAUGAAUGGACAGCACAGACACUGAAAUGCACUCCACUGAAAGGUGACUUCCACUGUUUUCACCUCUCCAAAACUUUUGGGUUAGGACCGUAACCACAAGAGGACUUGAAAAUGAGCCGGAGGUGAGAGGACCACCAAUACUAAAGGCCACUGUAAUUGAUGGGGGCUCAGGGCGGUACCAUUCUGCUCAUCUGAUGAAGGUGCACAUGGAUCAGAUUCAAACUUUGAAGACCGAGAUCGCGUCAUUGAAGGCAGACCAGCAGAAAGAGAAACAUUUAUCUGAGGGCAGUGAUACGGACAACAUUGGUCCAGAGCCACGCGCCAUUGGCAGAGUCAGGUGAAGAAUGAUGCGUUGAAGAGGACAAGGAACAAAAUGGAGUCACAGGGACACCUGUGAGCUCUGGAACUCCACCUCGCACAGGCAGAGUCAACAUACCUGGCGGGUUCGUCAGGUUGUCAGUUCACCCUGACAUUUCCAUUCCUCUUCUGACAACCUGACCAAGGCAAAUGUGGCUUCCCUGUGAACCUCUGGGUGUUCAUCAUUGAUACUGUGUCUCAGAAGUUUCUGUCUAUGACUGAUGCAUCCCAGAAAAGCAUUAAAGAUGGAUUUAAUGAGUACUUGUGGUCACUGAGAAAGUCUGUACAUGGCCUGCUCUCCCUUAUGUCAGGAUUUAGGAAACAUUCCCAUGUUUACUACAGUAUGUACCUUUAGGCUAUGUUUACUUGUCAGACUACACAGUAGCCUAAAAUACAAGUGCAGGUGUCUUUUAUCUUCAAAAUGCUUUAUUAUCCAAAUGUAAAGACAUAUACUGUACAGUACUGUAUUUCUUC
Molecule: long non-coding RNA, 854 nt
Organism: Oncorhynchus tshawytscha (Chinook salmon)
Lineage: Eukaryota; Metazoa; Chordata; Actinopteri; Salmoniformes; Salmonidae
Exons: 3
Source: RefSeq, a predicted model, not a curated record